This is a non-coding RNA of Desulfuromonadaceae bacterium GWC2_58_13, 87 nucleotides long. Lineage: Bacteria; Pseudomonadati; Thermodesulfobacteriota; Desulfuromonadia; Desulfuromonadales; Desulfuromonadaceae. The record is from Rfam.
UGCCCGGAACCUGUGCCGGAGCAAUAAAGCCAGCUGGAAUUAUUACUAAAACCGAUACCGCCUGGAUCCACGGACCGGGACGGAAGG